CCAAUGUGGUUCUAAUCUCCUCCUUCUAAUUCUUCGCCGACGAUUAGCUCUGGACGACGAAGCACUCCGAGAUCUAGAAGACCGUACACUUGCAACCGAGAGGUCGUGCUUUCGUUUUUUCAUUCGAGAGAUUGUUCGAGGGCAGUUCGCGGUGCUGCUCCCCCUCGCGCCGCCUCUCUCAUCCUCUCCCGUCGCUGCUGCUGUCCCUCGCGCCGCCCCUAGCCUCCCCACCUAGACACGGCGACCAUGAGCGCCAGCGAGAGGAGGAGGAAGGCUGGUGACUGCGCGCUGCCGUACCAGGGGCCCGGCGGCCACCUCUGUGCGUGGAUCCUCACCUCCUCCGCCCCCUCCAACCUCCACUGAGCCGCUGCCAUGGCGACCGAGCUGCCGUUCGUCCCUCCCUCCCUCGCGCCUGGAACGCCAGCUCGUGGACAUGGCGACCGUACGCGCCGCAGGCAGGGCAGGAGCUGCAGCACUCCGAGGUUAGCGAAGAUCGGGUGGGGAUGGAUGAGCUAGACAUGGAUGGCGUCAACAUGGUCAGGCCCGAGUUCGCGUGCCCCAUUUCCCUCUCCCCGCACCUCUAAGUGGAGCACACCUUCGAGCCCCAUGCCUGGGAGUUCUUCACCUGUUCCCUACAACCAUGAUCUGGUCUCGAGUACAGCAUCAUACAGUGAUGAGUGGCAUGCAGAUUUACUUGGUUGUUGUUCAGAGCCAGCUCUAUAUGUCUGAAGACCUUUUUUCCAUGUGGAACAUUCUCAAGGAGUGCUUCAAUCGCCAAGAACAAGCCCAUGUGUAAGAAUAUUCUCUAAAAGUCAUUACAUCAGCUGUGCAGAGUUAUGACAAGCAAAUUCCCACACAACUUUUUUUUACAGUUAACCAUUUGCCAUGGCAGUAAAGAUCUUAUAAUGUACUGGGCAUCUUAUAAAUCAAAAUUUCCAUGGCAGUAAAGAUCUUAUACAUCAGGUUUACUUCUAAAAAUAAUGCAGUCACACCUUAUGUCAACCUAACUACCCUGAAAACUAAGACUGAUUUGCAUAGGUGUAUCACCCCGGAUGUAACUUUCCAUAUUUGUAACUCCAACUCUUGCCAUUUUCGGCUAUGUGUUAUGAUAUUCCCUCCGUGGUUGGGUUU
This is a long non-coding RNA of Triticum aestivum (bread wheat), 1131 nucleotides long. RefSeq lists it as uncharacterized. NCBI's taxonomy places the organism in Eukaryota, Viridiplantae, Streptophyta, Magnoliopsida, Poales, Poaceae. The transcript is spliced from 4 exons. The record is from RefSeq and is a predicted model, not a curated record.